This 1527-nucleotide ribosomal RNA is filed under the name metagenome. Its description in RNAcentral is "bacterial SSU rRNA". It matches the Rfam family "Bacterial small subunit ribosomal RNA". The record is from RNAcentral.
AGAGUUUGAUCCCAGCUCAGGAUGAACGCUAGCGGUGCGCUUAACACAUGCAAGUCGUGCGAUCGAGCCGGGUCAAUCACCCUUCGGGGUGUGCGAACCGGUGACGGAGCGGCGGACUGGUGAGUAACGCGUAGUCAACUUACCCUCUUGACGAGGACAACCACUCGAAAGGGUGGCUAAUACUCGAUAUUGUUGCGGAUUGAUGGAUCCGUUUCCAAAGGCGGUUCUGCCGUCGCAAGGGGAUGGGGCUGCGUCCUAUUAGCUUGUUGGUAGGGUAACGGCCUACCAAGGCAAUGAUGGGUAGCUGGUCUGAGAGGAUGAUCAGCCACAUUGGGACUGAGAUACGGCCCAGACUCCUACGGGAGGCAGCAGUGGGAAUAUUGGACAAUGGGGGAAACCCUGAUCCAGCGACACCGCGUGGGGGAUGAAGGCUUUCGGGUUGUAAACCCCUUUUCUGGGGGAAGAAUAAGUUCGAGAGGAAAUGCUCGAGCGAUGACGGUACUCCAGGAAUAAGCAUCGGCAAACUUCGUGCCAGCAGCCGCGGUAAGACGAAGGAUGCUAGCGUUAUCCGGAAUUACUGGGCGUAAAGAGCGUGUAGGCGGUUUAGCAAGUCAGAUGUGAAAGCCCUGGGCUCAACCCGGGAAGUGCAUUUGAAACUGCUUCACUAGAGUAUGGGAGAGGAGAUUGGAAUUCCUGGUGUAGAGGUGAAAUUCGUAGAUAUCAGGAGGAACACCCGUGGCGAAGGCGAUUCUCUGGACCAAUACUGACGCUGAGACGCGAAAGCGUGGGGAGCAAACAGGAUUAGAUACCCUGGUAGUCCACGCCGUAAACGAUGAGAACUAGGUGUAGUGGGUAUUGACCCCUGCUGUGCCGAAGUCAACGCAUUAAGUUCUCCGCCUGGGGAGUACGGCCGCAAGGCUAAAACUCAAAGGAAUUGACGGGGGCCCGCACAAGCGGUAGAGCAUGUGGUUUAAUUCGACGCAACGCGAAGAACCUUACCUGGGUUUGACAUCCUUUGACCGUCUGGGAAACCAGAUUUUUCCGGUUUUGCCGGAACAGAGUGACAGGUGCUGCAUGGCUGUCGUCAGCUCGUGUCGUGAGAUGUUGGGUUAAGUCCCGCAACGAGCGUAACCCUUGUCUUUAGUUGCCAUUAUUAAGUUAGGCACUCUAAAGAGACUGCCUCGGUUAACGGGGAGGAAGGUGGGGAUGACGUCAAGUCCUCAUGGCCUUUAUAUCCAGGGCUACACACGUGCUACAAUGGGCUGUACAAAGGGUUGCUAUCCCGCGAGGGGGCGCUAAUCCCAAAAAGCAGUUCUCAGUUCGGAUUGAAGUCUGCAACUCGACUUCAUGAAGGUGGAAUCGCUAGUAAUCGUGGAUCAGCAUGCCACGGUGAAUACGUUCCCGGGCCUUGUACACACCGCCCGUCACACCACGAAAGUCGACUGUACCAGAAGUUGCUGGGCUAACCCGCAAGGGAGGCAGGUACCUAAGGUACGGCCGGUAAUUGGGGUGAAGUCGAACAAGGUA